UGCCUUUUGAAAUAAUAUAAAAGGUAAAACCUGCCCAGUGAUUUACGAAUUCAACGGCCGCGGUACCCUGACCGUGCUAAGGUAGCAUAUAAUAUGCCCUUUAAUUGUGGGCUAGUAUGAACGGACAAACGAGAGCUCAACUGUCUCUAAGAUAUUCAAUAAAAUUGCCCUUUAGGUGAAGAGGCCUAAAUUCUAUUAAAAGACAAAAAGACCCUGUAGAGCUUCAUCAAUUCUCUAAGCUAAAAAAUUUAUUUUAUAUAUUAUUUUUACUUAUAAUUUGAUUUAACUGGGGCGGUUAGAGAGCACUUACCCUCUCUAUUAAAAAAGGACACAAACCUAUAAUUAUUGAUCCUAUAAAGAUUAAAGAAAAAAGCUACCUCAGGGAUAACAGGCUUAUAUCUCCUAAGAGCACUUAUCGAAGGAGAAGUUUGGCACCUCGAUGUUGGCUUAGGGGACCCUAAGAGUAGCAGAAGCCCUUUAUGGCAGGUUUGUUCAACCUUUAAACCCCU
RNAcentral lists this ribosomal RNA (509 nucleotides) under Nicomache sp. GK-2017. RNAcentral describes it as "partial 16S ribosomal RNA". It matches the Rfam family "Bacterial large subunit ribosomal RNA", at positions 1819 to 2597 of the family's 2925-position model. The record is from RNAcentral. Lineage: Eukaryota; Metazoa; Annelida; Polychaeta; Maldanidae.